UGAGGAAUCUUCGGCAAUGGGCGAAAGCCUGACCGAGCCAUGCCGCGUGAGUGAUGACGGCCUUAGGGUUGUAAAGCUCUUUCGACGGGGACGAUAAUGACGGUACCCGUAGAAGAAACCCCGGCUAACUUCGUGCCAGCAGCCGCGGUAAUACGAAGGGGGUUAGCGUUGUUCGGAAUUACUGGGCGUAAAGCGCGCGUAGGCGGAUUGUUAAGUCGGGGGUGAAAUCCCGGGGCUCAACCCCGGAACUGCCUCCGAUACUGGCAAUCUUGAGUCCGAGAGAGGAUGGUGGAACACCCAGUGUAGAGGUGAAAUUCGUAGAUAUUGGGUAGAACACCGGUGGCGAAGGCGACCAUCUGGCUCGGUACUGACGCUGAGGUGCGAAAGUGUGGGGAGCAAACAGGAUUAGAUACCCCCGUAGUCC
This 424-nucleotide ribosomal RNA is filed under the name uncultured prokaryote. RNAcentral's name for it is "bacterial SSU rRNA". It matches the Rfam family "Bacterial small subunit ribosomal RNA", at positions 355 to 796 of the family's 1533-position model. The record is from RNAcentral.